RNAcentral lists this ribosomal RNA (1514 nucleotides) under metagenome. RNAcentral describes it as "bacterial SSU rRNA". It matches the Rfam family "Bacterial small subunit ribosomal RNA". The record is from RNAcentral.
AUCAUGGCUCAGAUUGAACGCUGGCGGCAGGCCUAACACAUGCAAGUCGAACGGUAACAGGAAACAGCUUGCUGUUUCGCUGACGAGUGGCGGACGGGUGAGUAAUGUCUGGGAAACUGCCUGAUGGAGGGGGAUAACUACUGGAAACGGUAGCUAAUACCGCAUAACGUCGCAAGACCAAAGAGGGGGACCUUCGGGCCUCUUGCCAUCAGAUGUGCCCAGAUGGGAUUAGCUAGUAGGUGGGGUAACGGCUCACCUAGGCGACGAUCCCUAGCUGGUCUGAGAGGAUGACCAGCCACACUGGAACUGAGACACGGUCCAGACUCCUACGGGAGGCAGCAGUGGGGAAUAUUGCACAAUGGGCGCAAGCCUGAUGCAGCCAUGCCGCGUGUAUGAAGAAGGCCUUCGGGUUGUAAAGUACUUUCAGCGGGGAGGAAGGGAGUAAAGUUAAUACCUUUGCUCAUUGACGUUACCCGCAGAAGAAGCACCGGCUAACUCCGUGCCAGCAGCCGCGGUAAUACGGAGGGUGCAAGCGUUAAUCGGAAUUACUGGGCGUAAAGCGCACGCAGGCGGUUUGUUAAGUCAGAUGUGAAAUCCCCGGGCUCAACCUGGGAACUGCAUCUGAUACUGGCAAGCUUGAGUCUCGUAGAGGGGGGUAGAAUUCCAGGUGUAGCGGUGAAAUGCGUAGAGAUCUGGAGGAAUACCGGUGGCGAAGGCGGCCCCCUGGACGAAGACUGACGCUCAGGUGCGAAAGCGUGGGGAGCAAACAGGAUUAGAUACCCUGGUAGUCCACGCCGUAAACGAUGUCGACUUGGAGGUUGUGCCCUUGAGGCGUGGCUUCCGGAGCUAACGCGUUAAGUCGACCGCCUGGGGAGUACGGCCGCAAGGUUAAAACUCAAAUGAAUUGACGGGGGCCCGCACAAGCGGUGGAGCAUGUGGUUUAAUUCGAUGCAACGCGAAGAACCUUACCUGGUCUUGACAUCCACGGAAGUUUUCAGAGAUGAGAAUGUGCCUUCGGGAACCGUGAGACAGGUGCUGCAUGGCUGUCGUCAGCUCGUGUUGUGAAAUGUUGGGUUAAGUCCCGCAACGAGCGCAACCCUUAUCCUUUGUUGCCAGCGGUCCGGCCGGGAACUCAAAGGAGACUGCCAGUGAUAAACUGGAGGAAGGUGGGGAUGACGUCAAGUCAUCAUGGCCCUUACGACCAGGGCUACACACGUGCUACAAUGGCGCAUACAAAGAGAAGCGACCUCGCGAGAGCAAGCGGACCUCAUAAAGUGCGUCGUAGUCCGGAUUGGAGUCUGCAACUCGACUCCAUGAAGUCGGAAUCGCUAGUAAUCGUGGAUCAGAAUGCCACGGUGAAUACGUUCCCGGGCCUUGUACACACCGCCCGUCACACCAUGGGAGUGGGUUGCAAAAGAAGUAGGUAGCUUAACCUUCGGGAGGGCGCUUACCACUUUGUGAUUCAUGACUGGGGUGAAGUCGUAACAAGGUAACCGUAGGGGAACCUGCGGUUG